CCGGAGCUUGCUCCACCGGAAAAAGAGGAGUGGCGAACGGGUGAGUAACACGUGGGUAACCUGCCCAUCAGAAGGGGAUAACACUUGGAAACAGGUGCUAAUACCGUAUAACAAUCGAAACCGCAUGGUUUUGAUUUGAAAGGCGCUUUCGGGUGUCGCUGAUGGAUGGACCCGCGGUGCAUUAGCUAGUUGGUGAGGUAACGGCUCACCAAGGCCACGAUGCAUAGCCGACCUGAGAGGGUGAUCGGCCACAUUGGGACUGAGACACGGCCCAAACUCCUACGGGAGGCAGCAGUAGGGAAUCUUCGGCAAUGGACGAAAGUCUGACCGAGCAACGCCGCGUGAGUGAAGAAGGUUUUCGGAUCGUAAAACUCUGUUGUUAGAGAAGAACAAGGAUGAGAGUAACUGUUCAUCCCUUGACGGUAUCUAACCAGAAAGCCACGGCUAACUACGUGCCAGCAGCCGCGGUAAUACGUAGGUGGCAAGCGUUGUCCGGAUUUAUUGGGCGUAAAGCGAGCGCAGGCGGUUUCUUAAGUCUGAUGUGAAAGCCC
Molecule: ribosomal RNA, 551 nt
Filed under: uncultured bacterium
Lineage: Bacteria
Description: bacterial SSU rRNA
Rfam family: Bacterial small subunit ribosomal RNA
Source: RNAcentral